AAAUAAGGGAUUUCAUGCUAUAAUAGAGUAUUAAGCCUAGAUCAAGCUAAAAGGGACCUUGUACUCAUGCAAGGGAGUCUCUAAUACACAUAAAUGGUGAGUUGAUUAAUUAAAAAGAAAAAGAAGAAAGAAAAGAAAAGAUUUAGGGAACCGGGGAGUUGAAUCAAUUAAAGUUCCCUAUGUUAUAAUUGGCACGUAGAUUAUG
Molecule: long non-coding RNA, 205 nt
Filed under: Phoenix dactylifera (date palm)
Lineage: Eukaryota; Viridiplantae; Streptophyta; Magnoliopsida; Arecales; Arecaceae
Description: long non-coding RNA (PDAC_LNC016759)
Source: RNAcentral